Molecule: long non-coding RNA, 496 nt
Filed under: Cricetulus griseus (Chinese hamster)
Lineage: Eukaryota; Metazoa; Chordata; Mammalia; Rodentia; Cricetidae
Description: lncRNA (ENSCGRG00015032336.1)
Source: RNAcentral
GAAGAUAGCCAAGUCCAAGUAAUGACAGUCACGAAUGAUGGUGGCUAUUUAGCAAGCACUCAGUGAGUCUUUGAUGUAUGCCAGAUGUCAUUUUUGGCACUGAGGAUACAGGAGUGAGCAGACACCAGCACUCCUACGGAGCAGCUUCCUGGCGGUCAUGAAGGUGUCUCAAGUAUCGGAGGUUAGAAACUGGCCGGCACUGAUGAGUUUAGAAGCCACACAGCAAUUCGGUGGAAACAGAAUAUCUCCCCAAAGGGGAUCCGACAGACACUUGUCAGAAUGCCGCACUGCAAUCCAGUGUGUCACUAAUAUAGUGACUAUAAUGCAGAUAAUGUAAGUGGGCUGAACGUCUUCUCAGUGCAGUUCUGGCCUAUUGAUUAGUAGGCUUGAGAGCAUUCUUGGCUCUUAGGACAUAAACCACAGACAGACUCAUACUCAAUAAACCAUGUGCCACUCCAUUAAAGGAUUGGCUGUUUUUAGCAUCACAAACUCAAAC